UUCACCUUGGAACUGCGUAAGACUCUGGACGG
Molecule: small RNA, 32 nt
Filed under: Arabidopsis thaliana (thale cress)
Lineage: Eukaryota; Viridiplantae; Streptophyta; Magnoliopsida; Brassicales; Brassicaceae
Description: ATSL107010
Source: RNAcentral